This is a long non-coding RNA of Dipodomys spectabilis (banner-tailed kangaroo rat), 228 nucleotides long. RefSeq lists it as uncharacterized. NCBI's taxonomy places the organism in Eukaryota, Metazoa, Chordata, Mammalia, Rodentia, Heteromyidae. The record is from RefSeq and is a predicted model, not a curated record. The transcript has 2 exons.
CGCCGGGGCCGCCUAGAGAAGAGGCUGUGCUCUGGGGCUCCAGCUCCUCAGAGAGCUUCGGCUAGAGUUCCUGAAGGCAGCAGGAGUGACACAGGGAUAAAAGCAGGCACGUCGGCAACCAGGCAACUUCCUACAUGAAACAGUUCCUGAAGGCACCGGGAACAACAGGGAGGAAAAAGCAGGCAUCUCCACACCAGGCAACUUCUUGUAUGAGCUAGGUAGUACUGC